Molecule: ribosomal RNA, 523 nt
Filed under: Neophylax concinnus
Lineage: Eukaryota; Metazoa; Arthropoda; Insecta; Trichoptera; Uenoidae
Description: SSU rRNA
Rfam family: Eukaryotic small subunit ribosomal RNA
Source: RNAcentral
UACUAAAGUUGUUGCGGUUAAAAAGCUCGUAGUUGAAAUUGUGUCCUGCGGUGUCGGUCUACCGAAUGCGGUACGACAGGCACGUCUGCGGGGCUUCUCGCCGGUGCGUCCACCGCCGGCGUGUGUCGGUCGGCCUCACGGUCGGCCGCGCACCGAGGCGGGCCGUCGCGGCUGUUUACUUUGAACAAAUUAGAGUGCUCAAAGCGGGCUAACACUUGCCUGAAUAUUGUACGCAUGGAAUAAUAGAAUAGGACCUCGGUUCUGUUUUGUUGGCUUUCUGAUACCAGAGGUAAUGAUUAAUAGGGACAACUGGGGGCAUUCGUAUUGCGACGUUAGAGGUGAAAUUCYUGGAUCGUCGCAAGACGGACUAAAGCSAAAGCAUUUGCCAAAGGUGUUUUCAUUAAUCAAGAACGAAAGUUAGAGGUUCGAAGGCGAUUAGAUACCGCUGUAGUUCUAACCAUAAAUGAUGCCAGCCAGCGAUCCGCCGAAGUUUCAUAAUUUUAACUCGGUGGGCAGCUCCCGG